Long non-coding RNA from Cyprinus carpio (common carp), 469 nucleotides. The record is from Ensembl. Lineage: Eukaryota; Metazoa; Chordata; Actinopteri; Cypriniformes; Cyprinidae.
AUGUCCUUUAAUCCACUCACAUACAUGCUUGACCAAGAGCAACCAGAAGAACCAGACCUAGACUCUCUGUCAGGAAUGCUGAGGUUUGUUAACCAGACUCUGGCCCUUCAAGAGCAACAAUCCCUCUGUGACACCAGCACCCACAAAACAGAUCCUCAUUCAUGUCUCAGCUUCCCAGUUGGAUUACCGUCUCCCGUGUUCGUGUUCUGGAUUGUGUUCGUGUUGUCGUCUUCGUGUGAGUGUUCCGGUCUGUUCCUGGUUUCAUCCAUCGACCGCCUUCACAUUCACCACCGACUUCACCAUCAGCACUUCUCACGCCACCGUAGACCUUCUCUCACCAUUGCCUACAUACUGGACUCUAUUAUCAAUAAACUUCUUCUGAUUGCCUGCAAUUGCUUCCUCCUCUUUUACCAGCCGUCACAAAACAUGAGUAAGUAUUAGCGAUGGAUUGGAUCUGCUCUGUGGUAUU